Molecule: ribosomal RNA, 389 nt
Filed under: uncultured bacterium
Lineage: Bacteria
Description: bacterial SSU rRNA
Rfam family: Bacterial small subunit ribosomal RNA
Source: RNAcentral
GACGAACGCUGGCGGCGUGCUUAACACAUGCAAGUCGAGCGGUAAGGCCCUUUCGGGGGUACACGAGCGGCGAACGGGUGAGUAACACGUGGGUGACCUGCCCUCAGCUCUGGGAUAAGCCUGGGAAACCGGGUCUAAUACUGGAUAUGACUCCAUGACGCAUGUUGUGGGGUGGAAAGCCUUGUGCGGCUGAGGAUGGGGCCCGCGGCCUAUCAGCUUGUUGGGGGGUGAUGGCCUACCAAGGCGACGACGGGUAGCCGGCCUGAGAGGGCGGACCGGCCACACUGGGACUGAGACACGGCCCAGACUCCUACGGGAGGCAGCAGUGGGGAAUCUUGCGCAAUGGGCGAAAGCCUGACGCAGCGACGCCGCGUGAGGGAUGACGGCCU